AGCAGCCGCGGUAAUUCCAGCUCCAAUAGCGUAUAUUAAAGUUGUUGCAGUUAAAAAGCUCGUAGUUGAAUUUCGGGGUUAGUAGGUUGGUCAUGCCUAUGGUAUGCACUGGCCUCACUGAUUCCUCCUUCCUGAUGAGCCGUAAUGCCAUUAAUUUGGUGUUGCGGGGAAUUUGGACUGUUACUUUGAAAAAAUUAGAGUGUUUAAAGCAAGCUAACGCUUGAAUACAUUAGCAUGGAAUAAUGAAAUAGGACGUUCGAUCCUAUUUUGUUGGUUUCUAGGAUUGACGUAAUGAUUAAUAGGGAUAGUUGGGGGCAUUAGUAUUCAAUUGUCAGAGGUGAAAUUCUUGGAUUUAUUGAAGACUAACUACUGCGAAAGCAUUUGCCAAGGAUGUUUUCAUUAAUCAAGAACGAAAGUUAGGGGAUCGAAGACGAUCAGAUACCGUCGUAGUCUUAACCAUAAACUAUGCCGACUAGGGAUCGGAUGAUGUUAAUUUUUUAAUGACUCAUUCGGCGCCUUACG
Molecule: ribosomal RNA, 522 nt
Filed under: uncultured Glomeraceae
Lineage: Eukaryota; Fungi; Glomeromycota; Glomeromycetes; Glomerales; Glomeraceae
Description: SSU rRNA
Rfam family: Eukaryotic small subunit ribosomal RNA
Source: RNAcentral